CGGGAUGUAGCGCAGCCCGGUAGCGCGCUUCGUUCGGGACGAAGAGGUCGCUGGUUCGAGUCCAGUCAUCCCGA
This 74-nucleotide transfer RNA is filed under the name Chitinophagaceae bacterium. RNAcentral's name for it is "tRNA-Pro". It matches the Rfam family "tRNA". From Rfam's summary of the family: Transfer RNA (tRNA) molecules are approximately 80 nucleotides in length. Their secondary structure includes four short double-helical elements and three loops (D, anti-codon, and T loops). Further hydrogen bonds mediate the characteristic L-shaped molecular structure. tRNAs have two regions of fundamental functional importance: the anti-codon, which is responsible for specific mRNA codon recognition, and the 3' end, to which the tRNAs corresponding amino acid is attached (by aminoacyl-tRNA synthetases). tRNAs cope with the degeneracy of the genetic code in two manners: having more than one tRNA (with a specific anti-codon) for a particular amino acid; and 'wobble' base-pairing, i.e. permitting non-standard base-pairing at the 3rd anti-codon position. The record is from RNAcentral. Lineage: Bacteria; Pseudomonadati; Bacteroidota; Chitinophagia; Chitinophagales; Chitinophagaceae.